RNAcentral lists this ribosomal RNA (301 nucleotides) under uncultured bacterium. RNAcentral describes it as "partial 16S ribosomal RNA". It matches the Rfam family "Bacterial small subunit ribosomal RNA", at positions 509 to 809 of the family's 1533-position model. The record is from RNAcentral.
CAGCCGCCGCGGGAAUACGUAGGUGGCAAGCGUUGUCCGGAAUUAUUGGGCGUAAAGCGCGCGCAGGCGGAUAGGUCAGUCUGUCUUAAAAGUUCGGGGCUUAACCCCGUGAUGAGAUGGAAACUGCCAAUCUAGAGUAUCGGAGAGGAAAGUGGAAUUCCUAGUGUAGCGGUGAAAUGCGUAGGUAUUAGGAAGAACACCAGUGGCGAAGGCGACUUUCUGGACGAAAACUGACGCUGAGGCGCGAAAGCCAGGGGAGCGAACGGGAUUAGAUACCCCUGUAGUCCCUGUCUCUUAUACA